CCCGCUGAGGAGCGUUGCGUCCCCGCGGAAGGAACCAGGGGGUCAGGCUCAGCGAAAACAACGGCGCUCGCAUCGG
Molecule: non-coding RNA, 76 nt
Filed under: Betaproteobacteria bacterium SCGC AG-212-J23
Lineage: Bacteria; Pseudomonadati; Pseudomonadota; Betaproteobacteria
Also listed under: 1 other name
Description: SAH (S-adenosyl-L-homocysteine) riboswitch aptamer
Rfam family: SAH (S-adenosyl-L-homocysteine) riboswitch aptamer
Source: Rfam by way of RNAcentral